Molecule: ribosomal RNA, 467 nt
Filed under: uncultured bacterium
Lineage: Bacteria
Description: partial 16S ribosomal RNA
Rfam family: Bacterial small subunit ribosomal RNA
Source: RNAcentral
GACGAACGCUGGCGGCGUGCUUAACACAUGCAAGUCGAACGGAAAGGCCCUGCUUUUGUGGGGUGCUCGAGUGGCGAACGGGUGAGUAACACGUGAGUAACCUGCCCUUGACUUUGGGAUAACUUCAGGAAACUGGGGCUAAUACCGGAUAGGAGCUCCUGCUGCAUGGUGGGGGUUGGAAAGUUUCGGCGGUUGGGGAUGGACUCGCGGCUUAUCAGCUUGUUGGUGGGGUAGUGGCUUACCAAGGCUUUGACGGGUAGCCGGCCUGAGAGGGUGACCGGCCACAUUGGGACUGAGAUACGGCCCAGACUCCUACGGGAGGCAGCAGUGGGGAAUAUUGCACAAUGGGCGGAAGCCUGAUGCAGCAACGCCGCGUGCGGGAUGACGGCCUUCGGGCUGUAAACCGCUUUCGCCUGUGACGAAGCGUGAGUGACGGUAAUGGGUAAGAAGCACCGGCUAACUACGUG